AUGUUUUUAUCCUUUUCUUCUCAUUUGUGGGUGUUGUUAACAGAUGAAUCUUUCGGCUGGCAUUGUAGAUUAUUGUCACAUUUGUCAUCAUCUUAAGCAGAGAAGGGAGAGGAUUUGAACCGAUAGCUUAGUUUAAUCUCACCUUGCAAUCUGCUAUGUAAGAGAAUACCGAUACCGUUUAUAUAAAUUCUUAUAAGCAACAUUUCCCUUUGUUUAGCAAGCCUACGAGUUUUGGUCCCUUUUCAAAUCAAUUUUGUAUCAAUAACGUUGAUGCUUAGCUGAAAUAGAGUGACUAGCAUCUCAGUUUUUACCUUUUCAGUACUUUAUUGCCUCCAACAUCUUCAGUUCAAUGGAGACCAAUUUUCUUCAAUAAUAAAACCAUUUAAGAAUACCUAUCAAUACAUAUCAAAAGCACGUCAUUACAUAAAUCAAACAAAGUUAAAUAACUAAAGCAGGGGCUCAAAUGCAGGGGUCUCAAAUCACUGGUAAUACAUGAGAUGCUGGGCGGCAGCUACAUUCUGGAAACCACCAUCAUAAAUAGCCUGGCUUAUGGUAUUGGUGGUUGCAACGGUGACGGGGUGAGGGCAGUGGUGACAGUGGAGGUGGUGGUGGUAUAGUGGUGGGUGUUUGGUAUCUGUGACCAACUAUUUGGUUGUCGUAUAACUAAGUAACUAACUAUUAAUCGGUGAUUUUAAAAUUCGAUCAUUUUGCGACUAAAAAUGGAAUCCGUGAC
RNAcentral lists this long non-coding RNA (733 nucleotides) under Olea europaea (common olive). RNAcentral's name for it is "long non-coding RNA (OEUR_LNC010158)". The record is from RNAcentral. Lineage: Eukaryota; Viridiplantae; Streptophyta; Magnoliopsida; Lamiales; Oleaceae.